This 440-nucleotide ribosomal RNA is filed under the name uncultured bacterium. RNAcentral describes it as "partial 16S ribosomal RNA". It matches the Rfam family "Bacterial small subunit ribosomal RNA", at positions 338 to 795 of the family's 1533-position model. The record is from RNAcentral.
CCUACGGGGGACAGCAGUGGGGAAUAUUGCACAAUGGGGGAAACUCUGAUGCAGCGACGCCGCGUGAGUGAAGAAGCGUCUCGGCGCGUAAAGCUCUGUCAGCAGGAACGAUAAUGACGGUACCUGAAGAAGCAGCACCGGCUAACUACGUGCCAGCAGCCGCGGUCAUACGUAGGGGGCAAGCGUUGUCCGGAGUUACUGGGUGGAAAGCGAGCGUAGACGGCGGGGCAAGUCGGGAGUGAAAGUCCGGGGCCCAACCCCGGAACCGCUCUGGAAACGGACCGGCUGGAGUGCGGGAGAGGAGAGCGGAAUUCCAGGUGUAGCGGGGAAAUGCGUAGAUAUACGGAGGAACACCAGCGGCGAAGGCGGCCUUCUGGACCGCAACUGACGUUGAGGCUCGAAAGCGUGGGGAGAGAACAGGAUUAGAUACCCGGGUAGUC